AUUUAUAUAGUUUAAUAUUAUUAAAACAUUACAUUUUCAUUGUAAAGAUAGUGAUAAAAUAAACUUAUAAAUU
Molecule: transfer RNA, 73 nt
Filed under: Phyllomimus sinicus
Lineage: Eukaryota; Metazoa; Arthropoda; Insecta; Orthoptera; Tettigoniidae
Description: tRNA-Glu
Source: RNAcentral